GUUACGCACGACUGCCGGUGGCUCUCGGACUGCCUGGCCCACCAGUACGGGAUCGUCCUGGCCAACGUCUUCGACACCCAGGUGGCCGACGUCCUUCAGUUUUCCAGAGAGACGGGGGGCUACCUCCCGCACCGCGUCAGCACCUUGCAGGAGAGCUUGAUGCGGCACCUGAAGCUCCCCGCCGGACGGAUGGCUUUCCUGGGUGACCGGCAGAGGCUGAUUGAGGUGAGCGGUGGAGGACCGGGGUCCUAAAAGGCCGAGGGAUAUUGCCGUCUAUUCCACGUACGCCGCGGGUGCUCGGGAAGAACAGAACGAUAGCCAUAAUAAUGAGGAUACCUACAUAACGAUAUAUAAUACGGUAAGCUCUCGUUAUGCACUUAACCAGGUGCCGAGCACCGUUGCGACAGAACUCGAUCCGGCGGGACACGCGGUCCCCGUCCCGCACGGGGCCCACCCUCUUAAUCGCCACGUGACAGACGAGGGAGCCGAGGCCCAGAGAGGCGACGUGACCCGCCCAGGGUCACCCAGCGGCAAGCGGCGGGGCCGGGAUUAGAACCCGGACCCGCCCGACCCCCAGGCGCCCGUGCUCGGCCCGCCGGGCCCCGCCGCUUCUCCGAAAAGCCCCCCGACGGACCCGUGUCUCCCCCGCGGCUCGGACGGGUGCCCGGCUCGUAGUAAGCGCCCUACGAGUGAGUAUCGUCGCUGUCGUCGGUUAUCAGGAGAAUGCCGGGCUGUGGCUGGUACGGCCCCUCCCGCCGGCCCUGCCGAAGGCGCUGGCCCUGGAGGCCGCGUACCUGCUGCCCCUGCGCCUGGCGCUCCUGGACGGGACCGCGUCCGACCUGACCGCUCUGGUGGACGGAUACCUCCACGCCUUCCGGGAGAAGCCCGCGGACCCGCCGGGCGGCCUUGAGGCCUCGUGCUCGGAGCUGCCGGAGGAGCCGCGCCCGCUCACGGACCAGCGGACCCUGCGUCGGGAGCGGGCCGUCCGCGCCUACGGCCUCGAUGCCGAGGGCCUCCCGGUCCGCCCCCGGCCCCGGGGCCCCGCCGAGACGGAAGAAGCCCCCGGCGGCCGGGGCGGCCAGCGGCCCCCCGGGGCGGCGGCGGCCGUCUGCCCGCGCCCCCGGCCUCCGGAGGGCGAGGGCUGGCAGAGGCGGGGAGUCGGCCGCCGCCCCGGCGGGCGGCCCGCGGCCGCCCCCCGGCCUCCGCUCCCGGCUCCGGAGGAGCAGACGGGCGCCGGGGAGGCGGCGGAGGUCCCCGCCGGGAGGAAGGAGCCGGCCGAGGCGCCGAGACGUCCGCCUCGACCCCGCCUGUCCCUGCAAGAGGAGAUCGAGCGCCUUCUGAAGGACCGGGGCGACGACCCGGGGCGCCCGCGGCCGGGGGCCGCCGGGAGCCCCCGCCCUCCCCGGCCCGCCCGCCGGGCCCCCGGAGCCGGCCGCUCGCCGCCUCCCUCGCCCCCGCCCUGCCCGCGCCUGGAGGAGGUGGAUCCCCGGGGGGCCCCCUCCCCCAAGGCCCCCGCCGACCCGGGUCCCCGCGCGCGGCCGCCCAAGAGGGCGGCCGCCUUCUUCUCCAAGCGGGGAUCCCCGCGGGCCCCCCGCGAUUAGCUCAGCGGGCGGGGGGGUAUCUCCGGAACCGCCCCCCGCCGCCCCCCCCGGGGCGCCCGGCCGACCCGAGCCGAAGCCGGGGUCCCCCGUCGGGGUCCUCGCCCCCGGGAGGGGAGAAGCGGGACCCGGACCGUCUCGGGGGCGCGAGAGCCGGUCGGCCGACCCCCGGCAGAGAAGCCCGGGCCCGGCCGGGGUCCGGGGGAGGCCUCGGCCGCCGGCCCGGUUUCCCCGGGGCCCGACGGGGGGGCUUCGCCCCGCCUUCCCCUCCGCAGGUCCCCGCCGUUCCGUCGGAGCCUUGGGUUUGGGAGAGAAGGGCCGACGUCAGCGUCGGGCGGGGGAGCGGCGGAGACCGGGAACGGGCGGCCACGAUGGCGUCGGCUUGGCCGCCCGCCGGAAAGCGGCCCCCGGCCCCCGGGGCGAGGAGCAGGGUCAGCGCGUCCGCCUCGGCGGCGUCUCCCCCCCCCCCGGCUCUCCCCGCUCCACCCUGCACACGGAGGCCUCCCGCUGCAGCGCGCGGGCCCCGGACACCUGCGACUUCACUCUCCUCGCCCUUGGUUCUUUUCGUUACGUUUUCCCCGGAGGCCUCGGAUCUCCUCCGGAGGACGCUUUUCAGAGGAGGGCCGUUCCUCCGGCACGGGACGCCCCCUCGGACGUCGGACGUCUCCGCGGGACGAUGGCAGGGCGACCCGGGCGGGCGCGGGCGGGCGGGGGCGGCGAGAUGCGUCGGGCCCCGUGCGUUGACCAGAAGAAAUAAACGUGUUCUGGACCCAAGGCCGCGGGGUGACGUCCGUGUCUGCGGUCGGUCGAUGGAUCGGUGGCAUUUCCCGAGCGCUCACCGUGUGCGGAGCGCCGGGCCGAGCGCUCGGGAGAGGGCGGCACAAAAACGGAACCGCGACGAGCUUCCGGUCUCGAGGUCGGGACCCGGGCUCCUCCGGAGAGUGGCACGGGGGAGGGGGUUGGCUCCCGAGGCGGGGAACAGUGAGGCGGACUGUUAGAGGGCUCUUGACCCAAGCAGAAGGGGCAGCGUGGCCCAGUGGGUAGAGCACAGGCCCGGGAGUCAGAAGGACCCGGGUUCUAAUCCCGGCUCCGCGGGCGAUCGCGGGCGGGUCACUUCUCGGUGCGUCAGUUGCCUCGUCCGUAAGACGAGGAUUAAGGCCGCGAGCCCCCUGUGGGACAGGGACUGUGUCCGACCUGCUUAGUACAGCGCCUGGAACCUAGUGAGCGCUUAAUAAGUACCAUUAUUAUUAUACUACCACAGAGUCGGGCAUGUUCUCUGGCCACAGGGAGUUUAUAGUCCAGAGGGGCAUUUUAGGUCGCUAUUCGGCCGCGCCCCAAAUAACGGCAAGGUGGUUCCAGAGGUUUAAGUUUUCAUUCUAUGCCCCUAGAACAUUUCUUGAAUUAUUAUUAUUUUCUUUAAAUUCCCCUGAAUGUGCCACCGCCUGUGUUCGGACGGAGCCCCCCCUACGAUACGCCGGUCCCAAUGUGAUGACGGUGCCCCAUCGCGGGACGAAACCGGGUCACCGAACCGGAUUUUGGGAUGCUUUAGGCGAGUAACACCCCUGAUUCUGGCGCCACAAGGAUCUACUAAGCAGCGCGGCCCAGAGGAAAGAGCCCCGACUCGGGAGUCGGAGGGCGCGGGUUCUAAUCCCGGCUCCGCCGCUUGUCAGCUGGGUGACUUCGGGCAAGUCGCUGGACUUCCUUGGGCCUCAGUGACCUCGUCUGGAAAACGGGGAUUAAGACCCCGAGCCCCACGUGGGACAACCCGAUAACCUCGUACCUAUCCCGGUGCGUACAGCAGCGCUCGGCACAUAGUAAGCGCUUAACAGAUACCGUCGUGAUCACGGUCAUUAUCCACCUGCAUGAAACGCGGUCGGAUCGUCCGACGGCGGCGUCAUCUAAGGUGACUUUUGCUCGGUUGGGGUUGGACGGAUCUUUGAAUGCGGGACAAUCACGGGGGGGGGGGAGGGGGGGACGUCGUUCAACGUCGG
This 3589-nucleotide long non-coding RNA is filed under the name Ornithorhynchus anatinus (platypus). Its description in RNAcentral is "lncRNA (ENSOANG00000038319.1)". Lineage: Eukaryota; Metazoa; Chordata; Mammalia; Monotremata; Ornithorhynchidae. The record is from RNAcentral.